Molecule: ribosomal RNA, 229 nt
Filed under: uncultured bacterium
Lineage: Bacteria
Description: partial 16S ribosomal RNA
Rfam family: Bacterial small subunit ribosomal RNA
Source: RNAcentral
UGCGCAGGUGGGGAUGUAAGUCAGUGGUGAAAUGUUGCCGCUUAACGGUAAAAUUGCCAUUGAUACUGCAUCUCUUGAGUAUGGUUGAGGUAGGCGGAAUGUGUUGUGUAGCGGUGAAAUGCACAGAUAUGACACAGAACACCGAUUGCGAAGGCAGCUUACUAAGCCAUUACUGACGCUGAGGCACGAAAGCGUGGGGAGCGAACAGGAUUAGAUACCCUGGUAGUCC